RNAcentral lists this unclassified non-coding RNA (201 nucleotides) under plant metagenome. Its description in RNAcentral is "partial contains small subunit ribosomal RNA, internal transcribed spacer 1, and 5.8S ribosomal RNA". The record is from RNAcentral.
UCUCCGUUGGCGAACCAGCGGAGGGAUCAUUAUCGAGUUUAUAACUCCCAAACCCUAUGUGAACUUACCACUUGUUGCUUCGGCGCGCGCUUCGGCGCCGCCGAGGACACUUAAACUCUUUGUUUUUAUAAGCAUUUCUGAGUGGCCGAAAGGCAAAAUACAAAUGAAUCAAAACUUUCAACAACGGAUCUCUUGGUUCUG